AAGGACUUAGGAUAGUAUAGACCAAAGGCCUUCAAAGCCUUAAGCAGAAGUUAAAAUCUUCUAGUCUUUR
RNAcentral lists this transfer RNA (70 nucleotides) under Pachytriton brevipes (black-spotted stout newt). Its description in RNAcentral is "tRNA-Trp". Lineage: Eukaryota; Metazoa; Chordata; Amphibia; Caudata; Salamandridae. The record is from RNAcentral.